This 29-nucleotide non-coding RNA is filed under the name Mus musculus (house mouse). Lineage: Eukaryota; Metazoa; Chordata; Mammalia; Rodentia; Muridae. The record is from RNAcentral.
CNCCAAACUAAUGGUUCUAGAGCCUCCAC